This is a long non-coding RNA of Solanum stenotomum, 1838 nucleotides long. RefSeq lists it as uncharacterized. NCBI's taxonomy places the organism in Eukaryota, Viridiplantae, Streptophyta, Magnoliopsida, Solanales, Solanaceae. The transcript is spliced from 4 exons. The record is from RefSeq and is a predicted model, not a curated record.
CAUACUACUUUUCUAUGGAGAACUGAAGAGGGAGCUGAAGAACAUUGAGCUGAAGAGCUGAAACCCCAAAUCAGAAUCGAAGAAUUGAUGAAGAGCUGAAGUUCGCUUUUCUCACGGAACCGCUGAAGAGCUGAAGAUCGAAAACAGAGCUGAAGAGCACUUACACGAUUUCAUUUUUCUCGCUCCACUUUUAGUCGUUCUGAUUCAAUCACUUUUUUGUUUGUUUGUUGAUUUGUUGUAUUCACUUUAGUGUUAAUCUCUUGAAACUUCAUUGUUGAAAUCCCUUUUUGGGAUGUGGGUUUUUGUGCUUUUGCCAUUCUUGUUUUUCUGAUAGCGUAAAUUACAUGGGUGUAGAGUUUGAGCUGGAGUAGGUUCAUGUAUUUUGCAUUCACUUCAGUGAUAAUCUAUUGAAACUUCAUUGUGAAUAAUCUGUUUUUGGGAUGUGGGUUUGUUUGCUUUUACCAUUAUUAUUGUUCUGAUAGCUUAAAUGACAUGAGUAUAUAAUUUAAGCUAGAGUAGAUUCAUGUAUGUUGUAUUUACUUCAGUGUAAAUCUCUUCGAAGCUCAUUGUGAAAUCCUUCUUUUUUUGUGUGUGAGAAUGGUAACUCGAUUGUGACAAUUCCUUUUUGGGAUGUGGGUAUUUUUCUUUUAAAAUUCCUUACUGUUCGGUUUGUUUAAGGUGCAUAGGUAUAGGAUUUGAGCUGGAAUGAGUUCAUGUAUCUAGUAUUCACUUCAGUGCUAAUCUCUUCAAAGUUCAUAGUGACAAUUUCUUUUCCGGAUGUGGUUUUUUCUUUUCUUUUUCCUUUCUUGUCGUUCUGUUAGUUUAAAUUACAUGGGUUUAUAAUUUGGGCUGUAAUAGGGACAAUAUGUUGAUGCAUUCUGCCAACCACAAAUUUGAUAGGCCUGGCGAAGCUGAAGCCUCCAUUCAAAAGAGACGGAGCAACAACUACAGGGAAUUCUAGCCAGGUCAGUGAUGGUGCGGCUGCAGUGCUACUCAUGAAGAGAAGUAUAGCUAUGUAGAAGGGACUUCCAAUUCUUGGUGUUUUCAGAUACACACUCUGUAUAACUAAGAAAUAUUGUAAGAUGCUAACUUUGGAGAUAUUGACUUCGUCAACUGCACAUUCACUAUCUUCUACCAUCUUUUCAGGUAAGCUGCACGUAGUUAUGUGACGUCCAGUUCUGCUCUUGUUUUCCUGAUGCUCAAAGAGGAAUGGUGAUAGCUGAGGCUGAAGGCCAUCAUAAUGUAGGUAUCCUAUGUUCAAAAUUCUGCAAAACUUGAUGAAUGGUACACUGGAAAAUUGCAGUCAGACUGUCGAGACAUGAAAUCGAUCUCCAGCAGUCCAAGCCAUUACAUUUGCGAAAAGAAAUAGAUUUUUGAGAUGAAAACUAUUUCCUCUAUCCUACUAAGCCUAAAGUUAGAGCAGAAACUAACAUCAGCUGUUGAUCAUCUUGUUCAGGAAUUCAGCUUGCUCAGGAAAGUAUUCCAAUAGGGACCCAAAAAUCUAACCCGGCAGGACCACAACAGUUCUUUUCCGAUCAUUACUAAUGAUACUUGCUUACUUGAAUUUUCAUGUGUGAUUUCUGGUAUUUUUAUAUGAAGUAGGUGAAGAGUGAAAUGUUUCACUGGUCUCUAGGACAAUGGCAGCUGUGUGUGAAGAUCAUGAAAUUUAUGUGAAGAUAAUGAAAUUUCCUACUAUCAAUUAUUAGUUUGGACGUAAAUGAUCAACACAAGUAUAUUGAAUAUUGCUUAUUUUUUUCCAGCUGGUGCAUCUAUAGACUACAAGAUUAUAGGAUUUGGAUUAUAAUAUUAGCACAUCCAGCUUACUAUAUGACAUUAAA